This is a long non-coding RNA of Macadamia integrifolia, 646 nucleotides long. RefSeq lists it as uncharacterized. Lineage: Eukaryota; Viridiplantae; Streptophyta; Magnoliopsida; Proteales; Proteaceae. The transcript is spliced from 2 exons. The record is from RefSeq and is a predicted model, not a curated record.
UCGUGAAAUCCAUCCCAUGUCCCGGCUCCCGACGCCCUACCCUCUCUAUCUCUUUGUAGCUCUCCACAAGCUGCAACUCUCUCGCGAAACUCGACAACCGUCUCUGCUCUCUCGCAAAGCUCGACGUUCUCUACUUUAUUGCGAAGUUCAACGUUCUCUGCUCUCUUGCAAAGCUCGAAAUUCUCUUCUCUCGCAAAGCUCGGCGUCUCUUUGUCUCGUCAAGGAACGGUCUCACUGCAACUCUCCUUGCAGCAACGAGUUCGAUUGUCAAGCUCAGAGUAAUCUGGUGACUUUCCUUCUUCAUUUUGUGACCUCAAUGGACAUUUACUUCUAUUAUGGUUAGGCUUAAGACAUAUCUUGCAAAAUUGAGUUCUUCUUGAUGACUUCAUUGCUCCAACUACAAGCACAAGUCAGAGAGGAGCAAGACAGAUGUCAAUGUUGAGGAUAAAUAUAGCAAAUCAAAUGGCUAUAUCGAAGGGAAUGCCUAUGAUUCCAAUUGAUGGACCUUGAUGUUUUGAUUUUAAUGACUUUAUGUUAGUUGCUACCAUUAAUGAUUUUAUGUUAGUUGUUAGAGUAUAUGUUACGUAAUAGAAAACUCUAUGUUCUAUUUACUUAUGUGACAUUUAAAAAGAUAUUCCCUAUUGAA